This 256-nucleotide ribosomal RNA is filed under the name uncultured Gardnerella sp. Its description in RNAcentral is "partial 16S ribosomal RNA". It matches the Rfam family "Bacterial small subunit ribosomal RNA", at positions 99 to 354 of the family's 1533-position model. The record is from RNAcentral. Lineage: Bacteria; Bacillati; Actinomycetota; Actinomycetes; Bifidobacteriales; Bifidobacteriaceae.
CGAACGGGUGAGUAAUGCGUGACCAACCUGCCCCAUGCUCCAGAAUAGCUCUUGGAAACGGGUGGUAAUGCUAGAUGCUCCAACUUGACGCAUGUCUUGUUGGGAAAGUGUUUAGUGGCAUGGGAUGGGGUCGCGUCCUAUCAGCUUGUAGGCGGGGUAAUGGCCCACCUAGGCUUCGACGGGUAGCCGGCCUGGGAGGGCGGACGGCCACAUUGGGACUGAGAUACGGCCCAGACUCCUACGGGAGGCAGCAGGC